AUUUAUAUAGUUUAAAUAAAACCUUACAUUUUCAUUGUAAAAUUAAAAUUUUGUAUUUUUAUAAAUU
RNAcentral lists this transfer RNA (67 nucleotides) under Fannia armata. RNAcentral describes it as "tRNA-Glu". The record is from RNAcentral. Lineage: Eukaryota; Metazoa; Arthropoda; Insecta; Diptera; Fanniidae.